This 279-nucleotide ribosomal RNA is filed under the name uncultured bacterium. Its description in RNAcentral is "partial 16S ribosomal RNA". It matches the Rfam family "Bacterial small subunit ribosomal RNA", at positions 506 to 784 of the family's 1533-position model. The record is from RNAcentral.
UGCCAGCCGCCGCGGUAAUACGGAGGGGGUUAGCGUUGUUCGGAAUUACUGGGCGUAAAGCGCACGUAGGCGGAUUAGAAAGUUGGGGGUGAAAUCCCAGGGCUCAACCCUGGAACUGCCUCCAAAACUCCUAGUCUAGAGUUCGAGAGAGGUGAGUGGAAUUCCGAGUGUAGAGGUGAAAUUCGUAGAUAUUCGGAGGAACACCAGUGGCGAAGGCGGCUCACUGGCUCGAUACUGACGCUGAGGUACGAAAGCUAGGGUAGCGAACGGGAUUAGAUA